This 364-nucleotide ribosomal RNA is filed under the name unidentified activated sludge bacterium AI271. Its description in RNAcentral is "bacterial SSU rRNA". It matches the Rfam family "Bacterial small subunit ribosomal RNA", at positions 940 to 1301 of the family's 1533-position model. The record is from RNAcentral.
UGUGGUUUAAUUCGAAGCAACGCGCAGAACCUUACCAGCUUUUGACAUGUCCGGUUUGAGGAACAGAGAUGUACCUCUUCAGUUCGGCUGGCCGGAACACAGGUGCUGCAUGGCUGUCGUCAGCUCGUGUCGUGAGAUGUUGGGUUAAGUCCCGCAACGAGCGCAACCCUCGCCCCUAGUUGCCAUCAUUAAGUUGGGAACUCUAGGGGGACUGCCGGUGAUAAGCCGCGAGGAAGGUGGGGAUGACGUCAAGUCCUCAUGGCCCUUACAGGCUGGGCUACACACGUGCUACAAUGGCGGUGACAAUGGGCAGCGAAAGAGCGAUCUCGAGCUAAUCCCAAAAAGCCGUCUCAGUUCAGAUUGC